Piliocolobus tephrosceles (Ugandan red Colobus) is the source of this 102-nucleotide small nuclear RNA. NCBI's taxonomy places the organism in Eukaryota, Metazoa, Chordata, Mammalia, Primates, Cercopithecidae. The record is from RefSeq and is a predicted model, not a curated record.
GUGCUUGCUUCAGCAGCACAUAUACUAAAAUUGGAACAAUACAAAGAAGAUUAGCAUGGCCCCUGAAAUAAAUUUAAAAAUAAAUAAAUCCUGCUCAGAUAA